AACGAACGCUGGCGGCAGGCUUAACACAUGCAAGUCGAACGGGUGCAGCAAUGCAUCAGUGGCAGACGGGUGAGUAACACGUGGGGAACCUUCCUAGGGGUACGGAACAACUCAGGGAAACUUGAGCUAAUACCGUAUACGUCCGUGAGGAGAAAGAUUUAUCGCCCUUAGACGGGCCCGCGUCGGAUUAGCUAGUUGGUGGGGUAAACGGCCUACCAAGGCGACGAUCCGUAGCUGAUCUUAGAGGAUGAUCAGCCACACUGGGACUGAGACACGGCCCAGACUCCUACGGGAGGCAGCAGUGGGGAAUCUUGGACAAUGGGCGCAAGCCUGAUCCAGCCAUGCCGCGUGAGUGAAGAAGGUCUUCGGAUUGUAAAGCUCUUUGCCAGGGACGAUAAUGACGGUACCUGGAGAAUAAGCCCCGGCAAACUUCGUGCCAGCAGCCGCGGUAAU
This 453-nucleotide ribosomal RNA is filed under the name uncultured bacterium. RNAcentral's name for it is "bacterial SSU rRNA". It matches the Rfam family "Bacterial small subunit ribosomal RNA", at positions 29 to 524 of the family's 1533-position model. The record is from RNAcentral.